AUUUCUCGCUUUUGGCUAAGAUCAAGCGUAAGCGUAGUAUCUAUUCUUAUCAGUUUAAUAUUUGAUACGUGAGCAAUGGCCCACAUGAUAUUAAGUUGAUUUUUUCAGGGUUAGGGCCCAUAGCAGUGGCAUGCUACUGGGCCCUUGCGCGUCACCCAUGCGUUGCACUAUAGCAUGGGCCUGGAGUAGCCCAC
Morus notabilis is the source of this 194-nucleotide non-coding RNA. The record is from Rfam. Lineage: Eukaryota; Viridiplantae; Streptophyta; Magnoliopsida; Rosales; Moraceae.